UCCGCAUCAAAAAAAGCCACCAUCAAAACUAUCCAAGGUGCAAAAGCAAACGGUUUUAAAAGGGAGUUAAAAAAUUGAUUUUGUAGUUUAGGGGGAAAACUAACGAUCACGAUAGUUGAGGAAGGUAAAUUAGAUUUUUUUUUUCAUUCCCAAGCUCCUAGAUUUUUUUUUAGUCCAAACACACAAGCUGUUACUUGCCAGUACGCGAAUACCAGUUCUUAGGCAAAUAUCGAGCUAGCUGAAACUAAUGAUAAACCUAAAACUGAUAUGUGUAACAAAAGUUAGGCCUUGUUU
Molecule: long non-coding RNA, 294 nt
Filed under: Sorghum bicolor (sorghum)
Lineage: Eukaryota; Viridiplantae; Streptophyta; Magnoliopsida; Poales; Poaceae
Description: long non-coding RNA (SBIC_LNC011279)
Source: RNAcentral